Molecule: long non-coding RNA, 320 nt
Organism: Esox lucius (northern pike)
Lineage: Eukaryota; Metazoa; Chordata; Actinopteri; Esociformes; Esocidae
Exons: 3
Source: RefSeq, a predicted model, not a curated record
UGGCAGCCUUAGUAUACCUAUUUCCCACAAGGCCUUUUCCAUGUGACGUUGGUGACAGUGGGGACAUGUGGCUGGUCGCAGAGCAGUGCUUGGAACUGGCUAUUGGAAAUGAUGUCAGUUUGGCUGUUCUGCUUUCAACUUCUUUCAGCACCUGAAGGGAGAAAGAGCCUACAUCCUUACACAGGAAAAAACUGUUUGCGUUGUGGAACCACAAAGAUAGAAAACACUACCAGCCAAAUGACUCCCCUUGUCCUCUAAAGACUUAACUACGUUGUCAGUGGACAAAAUGUAAGGAUGGAGUCCAUGGGCACAGAGACCCA